GACGAACGCUGGCGGCGUGCCUAAUACAUGCAAGUCGAGCGAGCGGAACUAACUGAUUUACUUCGGUAAUGACGUUAGGAAAGCGAGCGGCGGAUGGGUGAGUAACACGUGGGGAACCUGCCCCAUAGUCUGGGAUACCUCUUGGAAACAGGUGCUAAUACCGGAUAAGAAAGCAGAUCGCAUGAUCAUCUUUUAAAAGGCGGCGUAAGCUGUCGCUAUGGGAUGGCCCCGCGGUGCAUUAGCUAGUUGGUAAGGUAAAGGCUUACCAAGGCGAUGAUGCAUAGCCGAGUUGAGAGACUGAUCGGCCACAUUGGGACUGAGACACGGCCCAAACUCCUACGGGAGGCAGCAGUAGGGAAUCUUCCACAAUGGACGCAAGUCUGAUGGAGCAACGCCGCGUGAGUGAAGAAGGUUUUCGGAUCGUAAAGCUCUGUUGUUGGUGAAGAAGGAUAGAGGUAGUAACAGGCCUUUAUUUGACGGUAAUCAACCAGAAAGUCACGGCUAACUACGUG
RNAcentral lists this ribosomal RNA (512 nucleotides) under uncultured bacterium. RNAcentral describes it as "partial 16S ribosomal RNA". It matches the Rfam family "Bacterial small subunit ribosomal RNA", at positions 28 to 507 of the family's 1533-position model. The record is from RNAcentral.